Molecule: long non-coding RNA, 1419 nt
Organism: Alnus glutinosa
Lineage: Eukaryota; Viridiplantae; Streptophyta; Magnoliopsida; Fagales; Betulaceae
Exons: 4
Source: RefSeq, a predicted model, not a curated record
CAGAUUUUUCUUUCUUUUUCUCACCUAAACUCACACACGCAUCACUCUCGGUUUCCCCCACUCAACAAAAAAAAUUUCCACCAUUUUUCUCCCUUCUCUCUUGCUCUUCUCUCUUCUCUCAUCAACCCUUGAACCUUGGGAGCCAUGGCACAUGUGGGGCUUUGAUUUCUUGUUGGAAGCAUUGCACAAAGGGGGUCUUUCAAGAGCAAAACCUUUGGCUUGGGCUUUGCUUCAAAUCAAGUCUUUCAUUGUUUUUGAGCUUUGGGUAACGAUUUUUGGGUGUUAGGACCUUCAAUCUACCGAUUAUUUUGAGGCACGUAAGGUGGAGACUUCAAUUGUUCUCCAACGGUGAGUUCAACGUAUUUAGAACGUGUGGGAUAUUCGAGUCAUGAGCCCAGUGCAGCCAAGAUGUGGUUAACUGAUGGAGAUCAAGGGACCGCUUUGAAGGAUCUCGUUCAAGUACCAAUUGGGCCGGUUACGAGAGCACGAGCAAAGAAGUUCAAGGAUGUGCUCAACGGACUCAUCCAAGAGUUAUGGGCUCAAGCAAAUUUGGGGAGGCCCAUUGAGCAUGAUCCACGUGGGCAACAAAGAAUUGUCACCUUGAUUCAAGUUCUAGAAGGAUCCGGUCAAGGCUAAGAACUGCUGAGAUUGUUCGUUAAUUUAGAAGGAUCGGAUUACAAGACUUAUUUUCUUUACCUACCUAAGAUCUUUAUUUAUUUUCUUUCCUUGCUAGGAAUUGAUUUGGACUUUAUUUUCUUUCCUUGCUAGGAAUUGAUUUGUUUACUUAUUAGGAUUAGAACUACUUUCUCCGCAAGUAAUUUUCUUGUAUAAAUAGGUGUACCUACCAUGUAAUGGAGGAGACAUUGAUUAUUCAUAAAACUUGUGAGGUUUAUUCUCUUUGGUUCUUUGAAGAACUGCUCGAACUUAUCGGGAUUUCCCGUGGCGUUCAUCUCGACUUAUCAAACGGAGUUUCCACCACCGUUUGUGGCGUCUUCCUUAUACCGAGGUUCUUGUUUGUCAUAAACAACGGGUCGAGGUCUUCCAUUCAAAUCUGUUCAUAGAACGAUCUUGGGUUCCCUUUCGUUGUUGGGUCUCGUUAUUCUUGACAGGGUUCACAUCAUUAACCUUACAACCGUACAGAGUUUGACGCUUUGAUUGCAAGUCCAGUGGAUCUAAUGAAAUGACUUCGUAGCAUAGUACUUGGGAUGUUAUGACCGAAGCACGACGCGACAGUUAUAAUGGUUGGACCAUGUGUUGUUCGCCUUUUGGUAGACUUUGUUUAUGGCUCGUGUCGCCUGUGACACGUGUAUUUAUGAGCCAGUCUUUUAGUAUGUAUUUAAUAGCUAUGUAAAAGCCUUAAACAGAUAGACAGAUUAAUAACUCUUUUGUUGUGAUUAACUGUUGUUUAUAGAUGUACCU